This 765-nucleotide ribosomal RNA is filed under the name uncultured bacterium. Its description in RNAcentral is "bacterial SSU rRNA". It matches the Rfam family "Bacterial small subunit ribosomal RNA", at positions 28 to 842 of the family's 1533-position model. The record is from RNAcentral.
AACGAACGCUGGCGGCAGGCCUAACACAUGCAAGUCGAGCGCACCUUCGGGUGAGCGGCGGACGGGUUAGUAACGCGUGGGAACGUACCCUUUUCUACGGAAUAGCCUUUGGAAACGAAGAGUAAUACCGUAUACGCCCUUUGGGGGAAAGAUUUAUCGGAGAAGGAUCGGCCCGCGUUAGAUUAGAUAGUUGGUGGGGUAACGGCCUACCAAGUCUACGAUCUAUAGCUGGUUUUAGAGGAUGAUCAGCAACACUGGGACUGAGACACGGCCCAGACUCCUACGGGAGGCAGCAGUGGGGAAUCUUAGACAAUGGGCGCAAGCCUGAUCUAGCCAUGCCGCGUGAGUGAUGAAGGCCUUAGGGUCGUAAAGCUCUUUCGCCUGUGAUGAUAAUGACAGUAGCAGGUAAAGAAACCCCGGCUAACUCCGUGCCAGCAGCCGCGGUAAUACGGAGGGGGUUAGCGUUGUUCGGAAUUACUGGGCGUAAAGCGCACGUAGGCGGAUUGGAAAGUUGGGGGUGAAAUCCCGGGGCUCAACCCCGGAACUGCCUCCAAAACUAUCAGUCUAGAGUUCGAGAGAGGUGAGUGGAAUUCCAAGUGUAGAGGUGAAAUUCGUAGAUAUUUGGAGGAACACCAGUGGCGAAGGCGGCUCACUGGCUCGAUACUGACGCUGAGGUGCGAAAGUGUGGGGAGCAAACAGGAUUAGAUACCCUGGUAGUCCACACCGUAAACGAUGAAUGCCAGUCGUCGGGCAGUAUACUGUUCG